Molecule: ribosomal RNA, 443 nt
Filed under: uncultured bacterium
Lineage: Bacteria
Description: partial 16S ribosomal RNA
Rfam family: Bacterial small subunit ribosomal RNA
Source: RNAcentral
CCUACGGGAGGCUGCAGUGGGGAAUAUUGGGCAAUGGGCGCAAGCCUGACCCAGCAACGCCGCGUGAAGGAAGAAGGCUUUCGGGUUGUAAACUUCUUUUCUCAGGGACGAAGCAAGUGACGGUACCUGAGGAAUAAGCCACGGCUAACUACGUGCCAGCAGCCGCGGUAAUACGUAGGUGGCAAGCGUUAUCCGGAUUUACUGGGUGUAAAGGGCGUGUAGGCGGGACUGCAAGUCAGAUGUGAAAACCACGGGCUCAACCUGUGGCCUGCAUUUGAAACUGUAGUUCUUGAGUGCUGGAGAGGCAGACGGAAUUCCUAGUGUAGCGGUGAAAUGCGUAGAUAUUAGGAGGAACACCAGUGGCGAAGGCGGUCUGCUGGACAGCAACUGACGCUGAGGCGCGAAAGCGUGGGGAGCAAACAGGAUUAGAUACCCCAGUAGUC